GAUGAACGCUGGCGGCGUGCCUAAUACAUGCAAGUAGAACGCUGAAGGAGGAGCUUGCUUCUCCGGAUGAGUUGCGAACGGGUGAGUAACGCGUAGGUAACCUGCCUGGUAGCGGGGGAUAACUAUUGGAAACGAUAGCUAAUACCGCAUAACAGUAGAUAUCGCAUGAUAUCUGCUUGAAAGGUGCAAUUGCAUCACUACCAGAUGGACCUGCGUUGUAUUAGCUAGUUGGUGAGGUAACGGCUCACCAAGGCGACGAUACAUAGCCGACCUGAGAGGGUGAUCGGCCACACUGGGACUGAGACACGGCCCAGACUCCUACGGGAGGCAGCAGUAGGGAAUCUUCGGCAAUGGACGGAAGUCUGACCGAGCAACGCCGCGUGAGUGAAGAAGGUUUUCGGAUCGUAAAGCUCUGUUGUAAGAGAAGAACGAGUGUGAGAGUGGAAAGUUCACACUGUGACGGUAGCUUACCAGAAAGGGACGGCUAACUACGUG
Molecule: ribosomal RNA, 495 nt
Filed under: uncultured bacterium
Lineage: Bacteria
Description: partial 16S ribosomal RNA
Rfam family: Bacterial small subunit ribosomal RNA
Source: RNAcentral